UACGUAGGGUGCAAGCGUUAAUCGGAAUUACUGGGCGUAAAGCGUGCGCAGGCGGUUUUGUAAGACAGAGGUGAAAUCCCCGGGCUCAACCUGGGAACUGCCUUUGUGACUGCAAGGCUGGAGUGCGGCAGAGGGGGAUGGAAUUCCGCGUGUAGCAGUGAAAUGCGUAGAUAUGCGGAGGAACACCGAUGGCGAAGGCAAUCCCCUGGGCCUGCACUGACGCUCAUGCACGAAAGCGUGGGGAGCAAACAGGAUUAGAUACCCUGGCAGUCCACGCCCUAAACGAUGUCAACUGGUUGUUGGGUCUCUUCUGACUCAGUAACGAAGCUAACGCGUGAAGUUGACCGCCUGGGGAGUACGGCCGCAAGGUUGAA
RNAcentral lists this ribosomal RNA (374 nucleotides) under uncultured bacterium. RNAcentral's name for it is "bacterial SSU rRNA". It matches the Rfam family "Bacterial small subunit ribosomal RNA", at positions 524 to 898 of the family's 1533-position model. The record is from RNAcentral.